UCACUGACAAGCUGCUGGAAGCCUUUUUUCCAACAAAGUGCUGAACUCAACUUUUUAGCUCCACUAGAGGGCGACAUUAUGAAGUAGGCGGUGCACUACUUGUGCUCUCUGUUCAAGCAUUGUGUCAAUAAUAACUGCUGCUGUGAAGAGAAGAAUUGUUAGACUCAGUGUUGAACAUCAGCUACUUUCUCCUGUUGCUUUAAACCUUCUUGUAGAGAUGGAACAUUGGCUGUGGAUGAUUCUUGCUGCUCUUUUCUUUGAGUGUAAAGGAGAAGACAGAGUGAUCCAGGAAACAGGAGAUGUCAUUGCUGCUGAAGGAGAGACAGUUACACUACCCUGUACAUAUGAGAGCAGUGACCCAUCUCCAACUUUGUUCUGGUACAAACAAGAAACAAAUGAUUUUCCCAAGUUUGUACUUCGACGUUUCUCUGGAACAAAAGAUCCUGAAGAUUCUCAGAAAGACAGAUUUCAUGCUGAGCUCAAAGAGAAAUCAGUUCCUCUGAAGAUCCAGAAGCUUCAUCUGUCUGACUCUGCUGAAUACUACUGUGCUCUGACGCCCACAGUGACAGGAAACAGCACAACUCUGUACAAAAACCUUUGGAGCAAAGACAACAGAAUACUCCACAACAUCCACUAGAGGGAGUCGCACACUGUUCAACCUCAAUGGUUUCUCAUGAUCCAUUGUAGUAUUCACAUGAAGGUAUUUCAAUUAUUGCUUGGUUUGGAAACCUAAAUUUGUCCAAUCAGAAAAGACUUGGAAGUCUUGGUAAA
Non-coding RNA from Toxotes jaculatrix (banded archerfish), 771 nucleotides. NCBI's taxonomy places the organism in Eukaryota, Metazoa, Chordata, Actinopteri, Toxotidae. The record is from the annotation of a RefSeq genome assembly.